Non-coding RNA from Paramuricea clavata, 264 nucleotides. The record is from the annotation of a GenBank genome assembly. NCBI's taxonomy places the organism in Eukaryota, Metazoa, Cnidaria, Anthozoa, Malacalcyonacea, Plexauridae.
GAUAUUCGACGUCAUAAACACGAUCAACUUUGGUGUUUAUGACGUCGAUAUUCGACGUCAUAAACACGAUCAACUUUGGUGUUUAUGACGUCGAUAUUCGACGUCAUAAACACGGUCAACUUUGGUGUUACACGAUCAACUUUGGUGUUUAUGACGUCGAUAUUCGACGUCAUAAACACGAUCAACUUUGGUGUUUUUAAGACGUCGAUAUUCGGCGUCAUAAACACGGUCAACUUUGGUGUUUAUGACGUCAUAAACACGAUC